GAUGAACGCUGGCGGCGUGCCUAAUACAUGCAAGUCGAGCGAACGGACGAGAAGCUUGCUUCUCUGAUGUUAGCGGCGGACGGGUGAGUAACACGUGGAUAACCUACCUAUAAGACUGGGAUAACUUCGGGAAACCGGAGCUAAUACCGGAUAAUAUUUUGAACCGCAUGGUUCAAAAGUAAAAGACGGUCUUGCUGUCACUUAUAGAUGGAUCCGCGCUGCAUUAGCUAGUUGGUAAGGUAACGGCUUACCAAGGCAACGAUGCAUAGCCGACCUGAGAGGGGGGUAGGCCACAAGGGAAACGAGACAACGUCCAGGAUACUAAGGGACGGAGCAGGAGGGAAUGUUACGCAAUGGGCGAAAGCCUGACGGAGCAACGCCGCGUGAGUGAUGAAGGUCUUCGGAUCGUAAAACUCUGUUAUUAGGGAAGAACAUAUGUGUAAGUAACUGUGCACAUCUUGACGGUACCUAAUCAGAAAGCCACGGCUAACUACGUG
RNAcentral lists this ribosomal RNA (497 nucleotides) under uncultured bacterium. Its description in RNAcentral is "partial 16S ribosomal RNA". It matches the Rfam family "Bacterial small subunit ribosomal RNA", at positions 28 to 507 of the family's 1533-position model. The record is from RNAcentral.